Molecule: transfer RNA, 73 nt
Filed under: Laimosemion frenatum
Lineage: Eukaryota; Metazoa; Chordata; Actinopteri; Cyprinodontiformes; Rivulidae
Description: tRNA-Trp
Rfam family: tRNA
About the family: Transfer RNA (tRNA) molecules are approximately 80 nucleotides in length. Their secondary structure includes four short double-helical elements and three loops (D, anti-codon, and T loops).
Source: RNAcentral
AGAGAUUUAGGUUAAUUAAUUAGACCUAGAGCCUUCAAAGCCCUAAGCGAGAGUGAAAAUCUUUCAACCUCUG